Molecule: long non-coding RNA, 390 nt
Filed under: Daucus carota (carrot)
Lineage: Eukaryota; Viridiplantae; Streptophyta; Magnoliopsida; Apiales; Apiaceae
Description: long non-coding RNA (DCAR_LNC006643)
Source: RNAcentral
CUAGUCCUUCUAAGAAGAAGGAAACUCCCAACUCCAAGUCUAAAAGCACUUCUGCUAAGACUAAAAAGGAGAAGAGUCCAGUCACCCCUGAACAAGCACAUGUUAAACCAGUUUCUGUUGAUAAUCCUGUUUCUACUAAACCACCUGGACCCAAGAACAUCUGGGUACCAAAGAAAGUUUAAUCCAUUUGUGAAUGCAGGGCACAGGAAAGAAAAGAAAAGUUGUGUGGGUUCUUGAUAGUGGUUGUUCAAGACACAUGACUGGUGAAAAGUCCCUGCUCACAGAUGUGGUGAUGAGAACCGGCCCAAUUGUAAUCUUUGGAGAUGACAGCAAAGGUUUUACAACGGGAUAUGGUAAGCUGAAAGUUGGAAAUGUCAUCAUUGAAGAUAU